RNAcentral lists this ribosomal RNA (373 nucleotides) under uncultured Glomeromycotina. Its description in RNAcentral is "LSU rRNA". The record is from RNAcentral. Lineage: Eukaryota; Fungi; Glomeromycota.
UUGAAAGGGAAACGAUUGAAGUCAGUCGUACCGGUGGGUAAUCAGCCUUUCGGCGUGAUUAUGUGGAGCGUGAGGAGUUAAACGCCCUCAUGGCCUGAAUAUUCGUGUUCUUUGGGUGUACUUACCCGCAUGGUAGGUUAACAUCAAUUUCGAACGUCAUAAAAUGGUUGGAGGAAUGUAGCUUCGAUCUCGUAUUGAAGUGUUAUAGACUCCGGCAGAUGUGAUGAUCGGGAUUGAGGAUUGCAACGGAUACCCUUCGGGGCUACCCGUCUGAUCUCUGAAAGUUGCUCUGGUGCCGAAAGCUCGCUUACGGUCAUCAAAGUUGACGUUCAACAGGUUAGAACGGGAUAAAUUCGUUAAGGAUGUUGACGUA